UCUCUACUUGUAAAGCCUGACGGAGGUGUCUGAGGCGGUAUAUCAUGUGGCUCAAACUCCAUCCUGGAGCUCCAGAAGAGGCCCUCUGGACUGGGGCCCAAGCAGCGGUGGACUCUCAACAACAACAACAACAACAACUCUGUCAAGUAACCCAAGAGAGGAGGAAGAGAAUGGACAAUUUACAACAAUAUGCACAGACAACAAGAAGAAGAAGAAGAAGAGCAAGAAGAUGAGGAGGAGGAAGAGAAUGGAAGAGAAGGAGCAGCACACACUAUUGACACUAGGAACUGAAGGAGAUGAGGAGGGACAGAGCGCACUGCCGACACUUCCUGAACGCCUACAACAGCACGCUUGGGGACAGUCGACAGGUGUUCGCCGUGCCCUGCUACACUAUGCACAUUGGGAACCUCAAGCUGUGCAAGCCUAAGUGUGAGUUACCCGAGGGUUUGGAUUGACUUCAACCUGGGCACCUCCUCCAUCCUCAUCCUGUGCCAGGUGGAGAGCACGCCCCAGCCCUCCCACCCGGUAA
Long non-coding RNA from Eriocheir sinensis (Chinese mitten crab), 529 nucleotides. RefSeq lists it as uncharacterized. The transcript is spliced from 6 exons. NCBI's taxonomy places the organism in Eukaryota, Metazoa, Arthropoda, Malacostraca, Decapoda, Varunidae. The record is from RefSeq and is a predicted model, not a curated record.